Molecule: ribosomal RNA, 465 nt
Filed under: Apilactobacillus kunkeei
Lineage: Bacteria; Bacillati; Bacillota; Bacilli; Lactobacillales; Lactobacillaceae
Description: bacterial SSU rRNA
Rfam family: Bacterial small subunit ribosomal RNA
Source: RNAcentral
AAAGCGAAGCGCAGGCGGUUUAUGUAAGUCUGCUGUGAAAGCCCUCAGCUCAACUGAGGAAGUGCAGUGGAAACUACAAAACUUGAGUACAGAAGAGGAAAGUGGAACUCCAUGUGUAGCGGUGAAAUGCGUAGAUAUAUGGAAGAACACCAGUGGCGAAGGCGGCUUUCUGGUCUGUUACUGACGCUGAGGCUCGAAAGCAUGGGUAGCGAACAGGAUUAGAUACCCUGGUAGUCCAUGCCGUAAACGAUGAAUACUAGGUGUUGGAGGGUUUCCGCCCUUCAGUGCCGCAGCUAACGCAUUAAGUAUUCCGCCUGGGGAGUACGACCGCAAGGUUGAAACUCAAAGGAAUUGACGGGGGCCCGCACAAGUGGUGGAGCAUGUGGUUUAAUUCCAUGCUACGCGAAGAACCUUACCAGCUCUUGACAUCUUCUGCCAACCCAAUAAAUUGUGCGUUCCCUUCAA